Camellia sinensis is the source of this 1633-nucleotide non-coding RNA. Lineage: Eukaryota; Viridiplantae; Streptophyta; Magnoliopsida; Ericales; Theaceae. The record is from RefSeq and is a predicted model, not a curated record.
CACCGGAGAUCCACUCCCGACGACGGCGACCCACUCCUAAAACCCAACCGAUUGAGGUGGAUUGAUUCUGUCUGCCUUACAAACUAGAGCCCUUAUACUAUUUUCCUCCACCUCACAAAACUCGUCUCACCGGCGACCCUCUUUACGAUGACCCACUCCUCCAACUGAACCCAUUGCUUUGCCCUCAUUCUCUUUGCCCUCACUUCGCAAACCAGAGUUCCGUUGUGAGCAAACUAGUCCGACGUCAAUCAUCCAUAGGCAAACAAUUUGCGUGAGAUGCGUGUAGUAUCAAAUUGUGUACCAAAUUCAAUGCCUCAGAGCUAUUAUAUUCAACCAACAUUCCAGUCAGUAAGUGAAAGUUCAUGUGGAUAUAACAUUGGGUUUCGAUAUUCUAAAGAAUCAAAUAGUCCAAUGUGUAGGCAAGUUAUUUCAUUAACUUUGGCAAUUGUUAUUACAUUUUUUUGUACAUUGUUUGGCCCUUUGUUGCUGUGUUUUGUUAAUUUAUUUAUUUAUUUAUUUUAGGCUAUCAACAGGCACAAACAGGUGGAACGUACUGCAAAUUUCAGUCAUAGCAGUACAUAAAUUUCAUUGUUUCUUCCUUAAGGUUGCUGAAAAUGUUACUGAAAUGUUGCUCAAACUGCUGUCUCUCUGUUACUAAAACUGUUGUUGUCCAUUUGUUGCUUAUGAAACUUGGUGUCCAUCUGUUGCUCAAACUGCUGCUGUUCAUCUGUUGCUAAUGAAACUUGGUAUCCAUUUGUUGGUCAAACUACUGCUGCCCAUCUGUUGCUUAUUUUGCUGUUGUUUAUCUGUUACUGAAACUGCUGCUGCCCAUCUAUUGCUUAUUUUGAUGUUGUCCAUCUGUUGUUGAAACUAUUGUUGAAACAGUUUUUGUUCUUGUUUUUUUAUGUUGCUGAAAUUAUUGUGAACAUGUAUGAGGUUGAAUUUUGUGUGAACAAUUUGGAAUUGGAAAGAAACAACAUUAUUGCUGAAAUUCAAUUUGUUUAAAAACAAAGUUUCAUGAUUGUAGAAUGCUUCUUUGGGAGGAUGAAAGUUAUGAAUCUUUUUUGUUCUGUAGCUCAGCAAUUUCUCAUUUUUCUGAAUUUUUAUUUUUAUGGUUGUAAUGGAAAGCUCAUUUAUUUCCUCUUUCGUCAGUUUGAGUGCAUCCUGAAACUUCUAUAUUAUGUUUGCUGAUGAUUGGCACUUGUUGCAGCUCAAUUUGGGAAUUUCCUGAAAUAGAAAAAAGAGAAAGCUCUAUCACUACUUCACAGAGAAAUUAUGUUCUCCAAGAGAACAUGUCACAAUCUUCUCUUUUAACAUCCCAAGCAAACUAUCAAUUAGCAGUUACUUACAAUCAAUCUCUUUCUGGAGCUCUAAUACCAUCAAAUACUAUCUCUGCACCCAAACCAAAUCAUGGUAACACUGAUGCAAACAAGACCAAAAUGCUAUAAUUUACAAGUUCCAUAAUCAUCAAAUCCAUAACUACAUUAAUCAAAUUUCCAUUCAUCAAAACCAUCUAAAAUCAUUCUAUCCAUUCAUUAAAGCCAAAAUGCUACAAACUUCCAAAAUCAUUCCAUAAAAUUAAAGCCAAAAUGCUACAAACGCCAACAAUACAUCCGUUAAGUUUCAUAAAAUC